This is a non-coding RNA of Escherichia coli str. K-12 substr. MG1655, 79 nucleotides long. Lineage: Bacteria; Pseudomonadati; Pseudomonadota; Gammaproteobacteria; Enterobacterales; Enterobacteriaceae. The record is from Rfam.
GGCCGGAUAAGGCGUUCACGCCGCAUCCGGCAGUUGGCGCACAAUGCCUGAUGCGACGCUUGUCGCGUCUUAUCAUGCC